GUAGGUGGCAAGCGUUGUCCGGAAUUAUUGGGCGUAAAGCGCGCGCAGGCGGUUCUUUAAGUCUGAUGUGAAAGCCCACGGCUCAACCGUGGAGGGUCAUUGGAAACUGGAGAACUUGAGUACAGAAGAGGAAAGCGGAAUUCCACGUGUAGCGGUGAAAUGCGUAGAGAUGUGGAGGAACACCAGUGGCGAAGGCGGCUUUCUGGUCUGUAACUGACGCUGAGGCGCGAAAGCGUGGGGAGCAAACAGGAUUAGAUACCCUGGUAGUCCACGCCGUAAACGAUGAGUGCUAAUGUUAGGGGGUUUCCGCCCCCCUUAGUGCUGCAGCUAACGCAUUAAGCACUCCGCCUGGGAGUACGGCCGCAAGGCUA
RNAcentral lists this ribosomal RNA (371 nucleotides) under uncultured organism. Its description in RNAcentral is "partial 16S ribosomal RNA". It matches the Rfam family "Bacterial small subunit ribosomal RNA", at positions 527 to 896 of the family's 1533-position model. The record is from RNAcentral.